This 213-nucleotide ribosomal RNA is filed under the name uncultured bacterium. RNAcentral's name for it is "partial 16S ribosomal RNA". It matches the Rfam family "Bacterial small subunit ribosomal RNA", at positions 524 to 734 of the family's 1533-position model. The record is from RNAcentral.
UACGUAGGGGGGCUAGCGUUGUCCGGAAUCAUUGGGCGUAAAGCGCGUGUAGGCGGUUCGGUAAGUCCGCUGUGAAAGUCGGGGGCUCAACCCUCGAAUGCCGGUGGAUACUGUCGGACUAGAGUACGGAAGAGGCGAGUGGAAUUCCCGGUGUAGUAGUGAAAUGCGUAGAUAUCGGGAAGGAACACCAGUGGCGAAGGCGGCCUUCUGGCU